This 497-nucleotide ribosomal RNA is filed under the name uncultured bacterium. RNAcentral's name for it is "partial 16S ribosomal RNA". It matches the Rfam family "Bacterial small subunit ribosomal RNA", at positions 28 to 507 of the family's 1533-position model. The record is from RNAcentral.
GAUGAACGCUGGCGGCGUGCCUAAUACAUGCAAGUCGAGCGAACAGACGAUGAGCUUGCUCCUCUGACGUUAGCGGCGGACGGGUGAGUAACACGUUGAUAACCUACCUAUAAGACUGGGAUAACUUCGGGAAACCGGAGCUAAUACCGGAUAAUAUAUUGAACCGCAUGGUUCAAUAGUGAAUGACGGUUUUGCUGUCACUUAUAGCUGGAUCCGCGCCGCAUUAGCUAGUUGGUAAGGUAACGGCUUACCAAGGCAACGAUGCGUAGCCGACCUGAGAGGGUGAUCGGCCACACUGGAACUGAGACACGGUCCAGACUCCUACGGGAGGCAGCAGUAGGGAAUCUUCCGCAAUGGGCGAAAGCCUGACGGAGCAACGCCGCGUGAGUGAUGAAGGUCUUCGGAUCGUAAAACUCUGUUAUUAGGGAAGAACAAAUGUGUAAGUAACUAUGCACGUCUUGACGGUACCUAAUCAGAAAGCCACGGCUAACUACGUG